This 255-nucleotide long non-coding RNA is filed under the name Lathyrus oleraceus (garden pea). Its description in RNAcentral is "Pisum sativum (pea) long non-coding RNA (PSAT_LNC024822)". The record is from RNAcentral. Lineage: Eukaryota; Viridiplantae; Streptophyta; Magnoliopsida; Fabales; Fabaceae.
GCGAAAAAAAGCUGAGCCACCGGAUCCGUCUCAUUAAAUGACGUGGCGUGUUACACGGCCUGGAUAUGAGGGUGCAUGAUGUACUCAAGUCAGCAGCAAAACACAAUGAAUUAAAAAAGUAAUUAGAAUGGAUGCACGAGAUUAGAUCGUGAGGGAGAGAUCCAAUGGCUGUGAUCAGUACACAUGGUGAUGGUGGUGGAAACCACCACCUUCUCCGAUCAACCAAGCAGAAUCCGGCCAGAAAUUGAAGGAAAA